GCAAGUCGAACGAGAACAGUCCUUCGGGACCUAGUAAAGUGGCGCCCGGGUGCGUAAAACGUAGGUACUCUACCCUUUGGCGGGGGAUAACGUCUCGAAAGAGACGCUAAUACCGCAUAAGACCACAGUCCCUGCGGGGACAGUGGGAAAAGGUGGCCUCUCCAUGGAAGCUACCACCGAAGGAUGAGCCUGCGCACCAUCAGCUAGUUGGUAAGGUAAUGGCUUACCAAGGCUAAGACGGGUAGCUGGUCUGAGAGGAUGAUC
Molecule: ribosomal RNA, 264 nt
Filed under: uncultured bacterium
Lineage: Bacteria
Description: partial 16S ribosomal RNA
Rfam family: Bacterial small subunit ribosomal RNA
Source: RNAcentral